This 4381-nucleotide long non-coding RNA is filed under the name Vitis vinifera (wine grape). RNAcentral's name for it is "long non-coding RNA (VVIN_LNC004018)". The record is from RNAcentral. Lineage: Eukaryota; Viridiplantae; Streptophyta; Magnoliopsida; Vitales; Vitaceae.
UCUCCUGUACUCUGAUAGACCUGUUCAUCAUGUGAAAGUUUCAUGAAAAUGCAGAAUAAAAUUCUCUCUUAAACAAAAAGGAAGUUGAUAUUCAUGAUCAAAAUGACAGUUGACUGACAUUUUUCACAUUGAUAUCCGCUUUGUCAAUCGUUAACAAUAAUUUCCAAGUUACAAGAAUAUCCUAGCUCCAUUUAUUCAAAAGCCAAUUUAGGCAUUCUCUUAAGAAAACUCACUCCUUUUCCCAGUUGUUUUUCUAAUUUAAAUCCUGAUUAAGGUUCAAUUAGCUAGCAAAAUUCAAAUGUCAUGAUCAUUGAUUACAACUUUCAAGAAACUAUUAUUUAUCAAAACACAAUUUUUAAGGAGCAUACAACAUUUGAAAUAAAAAAACCAGGACAAAAAGAAUUUUAAAAAUUACUGCUCUUAAACAAUACAAUACUUGGCCAUCAAGUUCCAUCUUUCUGGUAUAUUGCACAUGUAGAUAUUCUGGUACCUAUACAGUGUUUUAUUGGCCUGUUCAUACCCUGAUAUAGGUUUUAGGCAAAUAUAAAGUUUUAUUCACCCAUCUAAACAUAACUAAGAAUGAUGUGGAUCAGAUUCUGACUGUUAAAGUGAAGAUAUAUAUAUAUAUAUAUAUAUAUAUAUUUUCUUUCAAGGCAGUGAGAAAUACAAUCUUUUAACUUUUCAUCAAGCAAGAACCAAAACAAAAAGAAAAAUCAGAAAGAUCUGUGUUUGUGUACCCAAAUCUAAGGAUCUAACAAUCCCCCAAAGCUCUCAUAACGCAAUUCUAAAGACUACAGAUAGAGGGUCUUGAGGUGUUUCAGUUUGUAGGCUAUGUUUUUGAAUGUUGACUAGAAAAAUGUAAAAAAAGUCAUCUCAUCACAAAAUAUUACUAAUUGAACACUGCUUCCUUCACUCUUAAUUUUUGGACCAUGAAUACUAUGAGCCAGUUUCACCAAAACUUGAAUGAUAGAAAAUUGUGUAAGGACAUAUUUUUGGCAAAAAGAAUAUCAAAAUGUCCCAUCCAAUCAUCUAAUAACAGAACUAAUCAUGAAUAUGAUUGCAAAUGCCCACCUGUCUGCCUCUUAAGAGCCUCUAAGAGACACCUGCAUAUAUUAGUAUGCUAAAAACUUUCCUCUAAAACAAGAUGAUUCUGAAUAAACAAUAAAAAUACAGUACAUGAAAUCUCCGAGCGUGGGCAAAUAGCCUUCCAGGUGGCUUUUUUGCUUCUUUUAAUUUUCUAAGUGGAUGUACUAAUUCUUAAACUAGAUGAACAUGUCAGCCAGGAUUAUGACAGAUUAAAGUCAGCAAAUGACUUCUCUGAUGUCACUAAGCACUACAAAUUACUGAUAACCAUGUAACAAGAAACCUUUUCCCCACUCAACUUCCGCGGAUUGUGGGGAGAAAGAAGGAAAAAGGAAAGCUACCAGCUGGUAAUCCUGGAAUUUUUUAAUUACUGCAUCUAAAUCAUCCUAUCUUUGUUAUUUAAAUUUUCAAGAUGGUCCCAAAAGAUUGCAGAAAAAGCAGAAGGAUACACAACAGGUCUACCCUUUGGCUUGUUUGAGACCAUAUAUGUAGCACCAUACAUAGCUAAUGCACUUGUAAUCUUUCUAGAGUAUCUCCCACAUGUUGCAGUCACUGAUUUUCACAAUUGUACUGCAGUAGAAUUGUGGGCUUUGCUACUUAUGAGUACUUAGACAAAGGCUCAUGGAUAUACUCAGACAUAUUUCUUCAGAAUAUUAAUAUAAUCAUUUUAUAAAAAAUAGCUUUGAGGAUAAAUUACAUGACCCAGAGUGUCCAUUCAGACAUUGAGCCAAAAGACUCAGAAAAGAACUCCAUGUGUCUCAAAUUGAAACUAAAACAAGUAUAGUUCUUGCAUUCUGUUUAUAUUUUCCUCCUCUUUGUCAACUCUUAGAAUUUGAGCCACAUUCUUGGAUGGGCUAGAAGAAGCAAGGGUUAGCAAACUAUUUGGUAGAUAGAAGAGCCUGGAAAUGGGAGUCCACAGGCCAAUUUAUUUUUAAACUAUGUUCUAACAUGCUCCAAAAAACAUGAUAAAAAACUAUUGCUUGGAGCUUUGUUUGUAAUAUUGUUAAAGUGAAGGAUGUGAAUCUACUGUGUCUACAGGCCCAGUAGUCUGACAGGAUGGAUGAUUGCUCCUGAUGCUGUCUAAGCAUAUAGAAAGAAAAUGAACACUUGAAUCCUCAAUUAGUGUACUCCUUUGUCAGAGAAAUUGCCACCCAAAUCAAAACCCAGCCCAUUUGUUGUUAGGGAUGAAUGCCUUGGAGUUUCUCUCCUGUUCUUAUGUUUAUAGAUGGAUAUGGUAGACACACGCACACAAGUCAAAAUCUUUUCCUUCUCAAAUUGCUUAAAACUAAAAACUAAUGACAAAAAACAAAAUAAAUAAAAAACAAAGGAAUCCUGAGGAGAGGGCUUGGCUUUACUAAGUACAGCACAGGUUCGUUAUUGUACCCCUAGUCUUCUUAGGGUCGAUACACCAGCAAGGUAAAAAAACAAGGAGGUUACAUAUUAGUAGGCAAGCAUUAGAAUAAUGAAUUGUUUGAGAGUGGAGUACCUUCAUGUAAGUAUGUAACAGAUAAUCCAUCUUCAUCAGUCUGAAAUAACUGUUUACUCUCAAGAAAUUUAUGCAAGCAGAGAAUCAGGUGACCAUACACAUUACAAUCCACAUCCAUCAUUAGACUGAUAUACAAUCUCUUCCCCAAAAUGAAUAUCAGACAAUAUAAAUUAUAAAUGGCUCAUUUUUUUUUCUUCAAUAUAAUCACACGACUGUCUAUUCAUUGUAAGUUCUCUCCCUGCCCACCAAAACUGAGUUAAGGAAAUUCUAAGUCCAAAAAGUGUAAUAGCAUGAGUUUCAUCCAUUUUCCUAAACCGUGCAAUGUGUGUAUAUGAAACUUUGGAUAUCAAUCUCAAGAUAAUGCUUCCGAAGUAUUAGAAACAACAAUUUGUUAGCCAAAAAAGGCAGAUGAAAAGGAGUUCCAACCAAAUUGACUCUGAGAUGCCAACUCUAAAUUCUUGAACCACAGCCAUAGUUCCUCAUGUUGACAAUUAAACACAGAGCUAGGCAGGGUUCAUCUAUAUAUCUCCCCAGAUUAAUAAUUGCAGGAUACAUUGGAAAGCUAUUAGUCUUAAAACAGUUUUCGGAAACUAUACAUUGAGUUGGAACUCUAUGCUAUGUUUGGUUCCAAGAAAGUACUAAGAAAAGAAAAAAAAAAUUGUUAAAGAAAACGAUUUUCUCAUAUUUGAUUUCACUAUGAAAAAUAGAAAAGAAAAACAAAUAUAAUUAAAAUUAGUUAAAAACUUAUAUAUCUUCAAAUCAUUUAAUCUUUAUAUAGAAAAGUUAAAAUAAGUUAAAUGAGUUUGAAGUAGUAUAUAAAAAUAAUUUAUUGAAUUUAAAUCAUUUUCCUUCCCUUUUUCUUUCCUUUGGCUUUUCCUCUCGAUUUUCUUUCCCUCACGCUUUCCCUCAAAAUUUUCGGUAACCAAACAUAGCCUAUAUAAUCCAUUUUUAUAAAAGUAUUCUUCAAUUAAAAAGAAGGCAUCGACAAUAAAUGCAGCCCAUCUUAGACAUCUAAAUGGUUCAAAAACUAGAAUGACCAAAAUUUAGGCCCUUCAGUCUCCAGACUAAAAGUAUAAACAAUAAUAAUUACAACAAAUAAUUGAAUAGAAUCAAGAGGUAUGGAACUGAUGACUGGACUCACUAUAGAGUUGAAAGGGAGCCAAAUUCCUGAAAUCCAAUAAGCAAUAAAGAAAUUCCCGAAGAAGAUGUGAGCACUGCUGUAUUUAAAUAAAAUGUUCUACUCACAAUCUUUAGCCAGAUUGUGCAGACUCAGCAAUGAGAUAUUCAAAGGUUGCAGGUAACUUCUAAACCUCAACUCUAUCUACCUAACUAAGAUUUUCACGGUCCUCUUGAAAUCCAUGAAGUCUUUUGAUGGUUCAGAAUUCAAAUUUGGAAUCUCAUGUUCUCAUGUUGUAGUAGGCUCAGUUGAGUGGGAAAAAUGAAAACUUCAAUAUUCAUAAAUUUACUUUCUUUCAUUUUCGAAAUUUCUCAGUGACCAAACAGAGGAUAAAGAAAAUACAAGCAGUGUACAAAAAUUUACCAACAGUUAACACACUAAAUCUCAAAAAUGGAAACAUAAGCGUACCUCUAGAGAGAGUCCAGAGACAAACCACCAGGCGUCUCUGUUUGGUUACCGAGAAAUAUGAGGUAAAGAAAAUGAAGAAUGUAAAAAGAAGUACGAUUCCGAGAGAAAACUUCAUUUUGAAGGGAAUAAGAAUACAGAAUUAACAAUUGAAGGAGGGAGCUCACAACUCCCGAGUCACAAGACGCGCAACAACACAGCAAGAGGCAAACGAUGUCGUUUUAAGAAGG